Molecule: ribosomal RNA, 155 nt
Organism: Capsicum annuum
Lineage: Eukaryota; Viridiplantae; Streptophyta; Magnoliopsida; Solanales; Solanaceae
Product: 5.8S ribosomal RNA
Exons: 1
Source: RefSeq, a predicted model, not a curated record
GACUUUUGGCAACGGAUAUUUCGACUCUCGCAUCGAUAAAGAAUAUAGCAAAAUAUGAUACUUAGUGUGAAUUGCAGAAUCCCGUGAACCAUCGAGUCUUUGAAUGCAAGUUGCACCCAAAGCCAUUAGGCUAAGGGCACGUCGCCUGGUUGUCA